RNAcentral lists this transfer RNA (73 nucleotides) under Candidatus Woesearchaeota archaeon. RNAcentral's name for it is "tRNA-Val". It matches the Rfam family "tRNA". From Rfam's summary of the family: Transfer RNA (tRNA) molecules are approximately 80 nucleotides in length. Their secondary structure includes four short double-helical elements and three loops (D, anti-codon, and T loops). Further hydrogen bonds mediate the characteristic L-shaped molecular structure. tRNAs have two regions of fundamental functional importance: the anti-codon, which is responsible for specific mRNA codon recognition, and the 3' end, to which the tRNAs corresponding amino acid is attached (by aminoacyl-tRNA synthetases). tRNAs cope with the degeneracy of the genetic code in two manners: having more than one tRNA (with a specific anti-codon) for a particular amino acid; and 'wobble' base-pairing, i.e. permitting non-standard base-pairing at the 3rd anti-codon position. Lineage: Archaea; Nanobdellati; Candidatus Woesearchaeota. The record is from RNAcentral.
GGGCUCGUGGUCUAGUGGCUAUGAUAUCACCUUGACGUGGUGAGGGUCCCAGGUUCGAAUCCUGGCGGGCCCA